CACGGCCUAUCAGCUUGUUGGUGGGGUAACGGCCUACCAAGGCAGCGACGGGUAGCUGGUUUGAGAGAACGAUCAGCCACACUGGGACUGAGACACGGCCCAGACUCCUACGGGAGGCAGCAGUAGGGAAUCUUGCGCAAUGGGCGAAAGCCUGACGCAGCAACGCCGCGUGCGGGAUGACGGCCUUCGUGGUUGUAAACCGCUUUCAGCAGGGACGAAAAUGACGGUACCUGCAGAAGAAGCCCCGGCUAACUACGUGCCAGCAGCCGCGGUAAUACGUAGGGGGCGAGCGUUGUCCGGAAUCAUUGGGCGUAAAGAGCUCGUAGGCGGUUCAGUAGGUCGGGUGUGAAAGCUCCGAGCUCAACUCGGAGAGGCCACCCGAUGCUGCUGUGACUAGAAUCCAGUAGGGGAGCGUGGAACUCCUGGUGUAGCGGUGAAAUGCGCAGAUAUCAGGAAGAGCACCAGCAGCGAAGGCGGCGCUCUGGGCUGGAAUUGACGCUGAGGAGCGAAAGUGUGGGUAGCAAACAGGAUUAGAUACCCUGGUAGUCCACACCGUAAACGUUGGGCACUAGGUGUGGGGAGGAAUCAACCCUCUCUGUGCCGUAGCUAACGCAUUAAGUGCCCCGCCUGGGGAGUACGG
This 640-nucleotide ribosomal RNA is filed under the name uncultured actinomycete. RNAcentral describes it as "bacterial SSU rRNA". It matches the Rfam family "Bacterial small subunit ribosomal RNA", at positions 232 to 885 of the family's 1533-position model. Lineage: Bacteria; Bacillati; Actinomycetota; Actinomycetes; Actinomycetales. The record is from RNAcentral.